AGGUAGCUCAGUGGUAGAGCAAAGGAUUGAAAAUCCUUGGGCCGGUGGUUCAAUUCCACCUCU
Molecule: transfer RNA, 63 nt
Filed under: Chloropicon maureeniae
Lineage: Eukaryota; Viridiplantae; Chlorophyta; Chloropicophyceae; Chloropicales; Chloropicaceae
Rfam family: tRNA
About the family: Transfer RNA (tRNA) molecules are approximately 80 nucleotides in length. Their secondary structure includes four short double-helical elements and three loops (D, anti-codon, and T loops).
Source: RNAcentral